UUUCAGCUGCCACCCUCGCAAGCCUCAUCCCUCUGCCUGGACAGGUCCGAUGGGCCCAGGCAGAAUGGGCUGCAGGUGAGACCGCUCAUCCCCCUGCCCUCACCAGAAGCCCCAGCCCGGGCCAGAAACCUCAUGGAACCUAACUGCUCUCUUUAUUUGACCCUCCAGUCAAGUAUCUGGACUGCUGGGCCGAAGGUCAUCUUUUUCUCUGACGUCUCUGCCUGGGCCCGCACGUGCUUGGUGACAUGGAGUAAUGGAUGCACAGAUGUCCAGGAGAGUCUGCUUGCUAUGGACGCCGUGGAAUAGAGAGCCUAUGAAGCCCUCAAGAACCUAGCCGUGGGGAAGUCCAGGCACUUUCAAAUGAGGAAGGGGUUCUCAGAAGCCCAAGGAAGGUGGCCAACAGCUGUAAAUUUCUCUCAUGACACAGCUUCGCAGACAGUGAGAGUGUGAAGGGGUCUCCAAGACCUGGAUCCCACCUGCCUCAAAUGAAAGUAUGUGAUAUGUGAUAAAUAGCUUCCAGGCUCAUCGAUUUUACUCUUGGAAGUGUAUGGGGGAAGUUUAGUAAUUUAAGGUAUUUUAAUAUCAUAUAUGGAUGUUUGGAAAAUGCAAAUUGUUCAUGGAUCAAGAGUAAACACAAAGGGACUUCCCUGGGGGUCCAGUGGGUAAGACUCCGCACUCCCAGUGCAGGGGGCCUGGAUUUGAUCCCUGGUCAGGGAACUAGAUCCCGCAUGCCACAACUAAGACCCGGUGCAGCCAAAUAAACAAAUAAAUAGAUUAGCCACAAGGCUUCAAAGAAAUUUCGGGCUUGCGGCUUAACAGGGCCAGCUUGGGAGAGUGUAAUGCCCUCAUCCUCACCUCCUCCACACAGCCUCGCUGGGCCCAUCCUCACCAGCUGAAUCAGGACCUCAAGGGUGAGGUCCAGCACCAGCGCAUCUGAAAAGGCUCCCAGGCGACUCUCAUAUUCAGGUAGAAUUAACAGCGCCAGCUCAAGGGUGUUCGCUCUUAGGUGGAAAGGUCUGGAAGGCACUCCCUCAUCGAUGGUUUCUGGUCUCUUCGUAGAUGAGCUAGUGAUUUCUUCAAGAUCUAAGUGAUACAGUGACAAAUCUACUGGGGAGCUUUGCUGGAUCAAACCAGUGUUAGUAUCAUGCCGUAGAGCGUGAGGAUGUCUCGGGGUUCGCUCCAGAUGACCUCGGCACUGCACAGCGCACCCAAGAGGCAGGUACAGAUCUGCCAAAGAGGAACAAGAUCUCACACUUAGGUGGCUUUUUCCAUCUUUUGAUAAUGGGGAGCAAAUGAAUCUAAGGAUGUCUCUCAAAGCCCUGUAAAGGUAAGACAGCAUCCCCCAACCCCUCCUGAGGCCUGCAAGUGAUGCUUCCUUCAUGGAACCAGGGUCAGAUGGGAAAAUCACAGAAAAAUGAGGCUUCCCAGAGGGCUGCAGAUGUCCUAAGUUUUCAGAUAGAUUCUUGGCACCCGGAACAUGGAUUCUUAGGCAGCUUAGUUCUUCAUUGUUUGUUCCACAAACAACAUAGUAUCUUUCACCAGAUAGAUUCUGAGGCAAUUUGAUGGAGCUGCCAGGUUUAUGCACAGUGUGUCCUUGGUGGCAAGUGCAGUAGAGGGAGGGCCUGGAUAGCUAUAAAGCCUGUCCUUGGAGAAGAGUGGUCUGGGGCCUGGCAGCAGAGAGACCUCUAGAGGACCUGGCAAGUGUGAGAGACAGCUUUUUAAGAAGGGGGCCUGAGGCCCAGGAAUACUGACUGUAGCAUCUCAAGUUAGAAUGUGAGCUACCGGAGGGCAAGGAAUCAGUACAGAGCAGGGGUGAAGAACGUAGGUGUCAGAAUCCCACCAACCUGGGCUGAAUGCCAGUUCUGCCCCUCACUGUGUGACCUUGGCAAGUUCAUUCAUCCGAGGUGGUCUUCUUACCUGUAAGACGGGAUGCUAAUUCCCCCACAGAGUUUGAGUAUUAAAUGAGACUUUAGGUAAAACAUUUAGUAGCAUGCUUAACUCAAGUACUCAUAGACGGUUAUUUUAGCCAUUUAAAAGUGUUUUUCUGUCACUUGCCCAUAGAAUGUCUAGUAUGUCCAACUUGCUCAAGUUGACUGGCUAAGCGAGGGCUUGGUUGAAUGUUUAUCUAAUAAACUCAAAUGUUCUUCUAAAGCGGUGGUUCUCACUUUGUUGUACACCUGAAACUAACACAUUGUAAAUCAACUAUACUACAGUAAAAUUAAAAUAUUUUUAAAAAAGCAGCGGUUCUCCAAAAAACUAACACUUAACUUUCUUUGGGUUAUUUGUAUGGAAAUAUGUUAAUAUAAAUGUUUCAGACAUUACAUGAAAUUCCUAAAAAUCUUAUAUGUUCUGCUAUAAUGUUAUAAGUCAUAAUUCUAGUUAUUAUUUUAAAAUGUGUAUCUCAGAAAUAACUAAAUUUCCUUGUCAAUUGCAUUAUUAUGAACUUUCAUCAAAUCUUUAACCGUGGUCAUUUUUUAAGUCUUUUGUCAUUUACAGACAGUUCUGGGUGUACUCUGAUGCUUUUGCAAAAAUGUUCCUCCCAUAAAAGGGUUUCAUCUUCAAGGAAUUCAUGGAAAAGACUCUGACAAGUACAGGUUUCUGGUAACUGACUGUACUGCUGAACUGAAUGAAUAAGCAUUUUCAGAACUCUA
Long non-coding RNA from Balaenoptera acutorostrata (minke whale), 2651 nucleotides. RefSeq lists it as uncharacterized. The transcript is spliced from 3 exons. The record is from RefSeq and is a predicted model, not a curated record. Lineage: Eukaryota; Metazoa; Chordata; Mammalia; Artiodactyla; Balaenopteridae.